GGUUAAGCGACCAAGCGUACACGGUGGAUGCCCUGGCAGUCAGAGGCGAUGAAGGACGUGCUAAUCUGCGAAAAGCGCCGGCGAGGUGAUAUGAACCCUUGACCCGGCGAUGUCCGAAUGGGGAAACCCAGUGUGAUUCGUCACACUAUCGUUAGCUGAAUACAUAGGCUAACGAGGCGAACCGGGGGAACUGAAACAUCUAAGUACCCCGAGGAAAAGAAAUCAACCGAGAUUCCCCCAGUAGCGGCGAGCGAACGGGGAGGAGCCCAGAGCCUGAAUCAGCUUGUGUGUUAGUGGAAGCGUCUGGAAAGUCGCACGGUACAGGGUGAAAGUCCCGUACACGAAAACGCACAGGCUGUGAGCUCGAUGAGUAGGGCGGGACACGUGGUAUCCUGUCUGAAUAUGGGGGGACCAUCCUCCAAGGCUAAAUACUCCUGACUGACCGAUAGUGAACCAGUACCGUGAGGGAAAGGCGAAAAGAACCCCGG
Molecule: ribosomal RNA, 488 nt
Filed under: Citrobacter sp. CK196
Lineage: Bacteria; Pseudomonadati; Pseudomonadota; Gammaproteobacteria; Enterobacterales; Enterobacteriaceae
Description: partial 23S ribosomal RNA
Rfam family: Bacterial large subunit ribosomal RNA
Source: RNAcentral